UGUUCUCCAUGUCAUGCUGAACCAAGAAAGCAUCAAGCUGCAAAUCUGAUUUCUCAUACCCAGACACACCAUUAUUGUCCCUAAUUACCUUGCUCUUUGAUUUCUCGUGCAGAACAGGCUUGAAAUAGAAACUGAAGAAAAACCAGGCACCCCAAAUGCUAUCAAGCCGUUUUGUGCAUUUCUUUGCUGCUUUUGGGACAUUAACGAAUGUCUCAACCUCAUAAGUUUGAGGUGCAAGACCAACAUCUAAGAUGUCACAUGGUUCAUUCCAUGCCAGGGAAGGAGGUGGGCUUGGCUCAGAUGACAAUGGGAGAUUGAUAUCAGGGGGCCGUGAAAGAAUGACUGAUCGAUUCAUCUCUCUAUCCAAUUCAUCAUGUGUUAGAGAACCUGAAUCCAUGGACAAAAGCGUAGAUGGAUGAUAGUUCUCCAUUGACAAGGAUGUGAGGAGUGCUUCCCCCAUAUUUUUUUUCUGUUCCUCCUCUAUUAUUCUUCUUGCUUCUGGUUUGUGACUUGAAGCCCCACCACAGUUACUAGAAGCUCAUCAACAGCAUCAUGAAUCAAAUAGAAACCCACAAAAAUCAGAAAAGCCCCCAAUCAAUCAACAAAACCAAACAAGCAACUCAUAAGCCUCUUCAUUUUUAAAGGCUCAAAACUUCACCCCACAAUAAUCGACAAAUACUCAUUAGUGAAUCCAGAGAGCAGCAAAUGAUGGCAUCAAUAUCAUUGGUAUGUCACUGACCUGCCAAAAAAAAUUAACGGAAACAGAGAGAGAUCAACUAAACAAAUCAAAACAACGGGCUUGUAUUACACUUUACAGAUUAAUAAUUAUUCGUUACAAAACAAACCUAUCCAGAGUCAAAAAAAUAAAGAAAGCAACAUUCCAAUCUCUUCUGUUUAGAAAUUUGGAUUUCCCAAAAAGAUAAAAUUUUUACUCUGGGAAAAAGCCAAGUAAUUGAAUUAAAGCAAAACUCAAGUGAAAUCUUCAGGCAUCACAAGACUCCCAAAUGAUAAUAUGAAAUGAAAGCUGCCGAUUUUACAGAUCCCCAUAAGAUUAAACCCCCAGAAUUGAAAUUUUCCAAAUUGAUUUUUCCCACACUUUCUUAGUUACCCAACAGAGUAUAUACCGGAAAGAAACAAUGAGUUGGACAAUCCCAAGAAUCUGAUAAUAGUAGAAAAAGUACAGAUUGAAAGUAAUCAAAUCAGAGCCAAAAAUGGAACCCUAAAACCUAAAAAAGUAAAAAAUAUCAAAAUGAAUAAAAUCAAAGAGAUUCGACGCUUACCUAAAAGGAGAGGCUUCAAAUCCACCCAAAACAGAGGCUUGCACAUUCAUUCGAUCCUCCAUUUUGAGAGAUAGGAAGGCAGAGACAGAAACAAAGUAACGGAGGUUGUUAAAAAAGACG
Molecule: unclassified non-coding RNA, 1400 nt
Filed under: Hevea brasiliensis (rubber tree)
Lineage: Eukaryota; Viridiplantae; Streptophyta; Magnoliopsida; Malpighiales; Euphorbiaceae
Source: RNAcentral